Long non-coding RNA from Oncorhynchus mykiss (rainbow trout), 1537 nucleotides. RefSeq lists it as uncharacterized. The record is from RefSeq and is a predicted model, not a curated record. Lineage: Eukaryota; Metazoa; Chordata; Actinopteri; Salmoniformes; Salmonidae.
UGGACAUAGAGGGGUCCCCGGCGUACACGAUCCGGGCCAUUCUGGACUCAAGACGCCGGAAAGGUAAGGUAUCCAUGAAGAUUUUGUCUACGAUGGGCGGUGGGGGAACCAGGUCCUCCAGCUUCAGGUAGAAGAUGCGCUGCAGGCCCUGGGUGCAGAGGGUGCGCAGCUCAGGGAGCUUCCCCAGUAGUCGGGACAGGAAGUUGGGCUGGAGCCUCCCCGCAUCGGAGCCACUGCUGGUCACAUGGUCCCUCAGACAGGUGAUGAGGCAGUUCUGGAACUCCUCCACCCGUUUGGGCUCUUUAAGGCCAUGGCGAUCUGAGGAGAAACCACAAGGAGAAACAUCUUGAUGAGAAACGUGAAUGGGCAUUUCACUGUACCAUUUACAACUGCUGUGCAUUGCUGCAAGGCAGGCGAAUGAGGACACGUCCAGGUUCAUGCGGUGGAGGCUCUGGGAGAAGUCCAUGAUGGAGUCGAUCCAGUCGCCAAAGCCUCGCACACACUGCAUACGGUGAAGUACCACACCGUUGCAGAAGAUCAGCUUGUCUUUCUCAGGACUCGACCUAGACACAGAACAGUCUUAACAUAUAUUGUAGAAACAUUGGGCACACAUUUGUGUUUUUUACAGAGUAAAUGUAUGCAUCCCAAAUAGCACUAUUCCCUAUUUACUGCAAUACUUUUGACCAGGGCCCAUAGGGAAUAAGGUGCCAUUUGGGAUGCAGACAAUGGUUACAGUGGUAAUUAUACCUGUAUGCUAGCCGGAGGAUAAAGAGUUCCACGAAAGCAGAUUCCAGGAGCAGCUCCUGGUCUUCCGGGCAGAAGGCGGUGAAUUCUGGGAUGGUCUCGGCCCAUUUCCGAAUCACAUCCAUGGUGCCUGUCAGCAGGUCGUAGAACUGCUGGAUGUCAUUGGCAUCCUCUUUCUCUGAUAGGCUGGCCACCGUCUCCUGGUACUGAGGAGUGGAUAGAUGAAAGAAAGGGAUGAAUCACUGCCUCUUAUGUCCUUCUCUUCACAACAUGUAGUGUGAAAUGGGAUCGAGAUCACUGCAAUCAAAGAAGCUUAAUUACAUAACUAUAUUAUAGCGAGAAGCUUAACUUUAACAGCAGCAACUGGCUAAAUUCUGAGAGAGAUUCAGACAACUAAUAAUAUGAUGUUCCAUGAGUCACAUGUCUGGAGGUCCUACCUUGGAGUAGUCCAGCUUUCCGAUGGCGGGGUUGGAGUCUAUGUGAGCCCUGACAAGAGAGGCGAUGAUGUUGACGGGUGGGGUGGUGGACACUGACUCUAGCACUGUCUUGGAUUUAGAGGGCAGACGACCCCUGCGACCUUUCAGGCUGUCUGUGCGGACAACUGUAAGUGAGAGAAAAAAAUAAUACUCUCACUGACUGUACCUGUCUGAGAUUCUCAUGUGACUGUCACCAUAAGCCUCCGUUUCACUGAAUAACGACUAUAUCCAUUUCAGUUGAUAUUUUUAUACGACUGGGCACAGUAAACUUGCCUAGUUAAAUAAAGGUUAAAUAAAAUAAAAAAGCUUCAGUUUCA